GGUUCCACCAUCGGUUCACUACCAGAGUAACGUAAAACCCUGUUGGGAUAACCAGACGUCAUCGUGCAGUUUCUUGCAGCAGAUAUCUCAACGGACACACUUUUAGCAGGAUUUUAGCUUUCUUAGGGGUUCGAGAUAUGAAAGUAUGUUAUCCUCCAUACCUUACGAUCUUGCCCUCCAGGAGGGGAGAAAAUAUAUGCCUUGACAAGGGCAGGGCACCCAGUAAGUGGGUAUUAGAACUCAAAUACUGACUGCAAAUAUGGAGGGUUAGUGAAGAGAAAGCUUAAUUGUCCAACAGCGGAUUAUGACCUCAAACUAUUCCGUGUUAACUUAGCAGAAGCAUCCCUGAAGGCGAACUUUAGGGUCCGCUGUGUGCUAUUGCAAGCAGCGGCUUUCCCGGCAUGCCUCACAGCCCGGAAGCACUCUCAUGCAGUCAUCUGUGUCAUCUAACGGAGACAGCUGUGUGGCUGCAUUUUGCGUGUGACCUAUACUUACCAAGCACAAAGGUUACUGGAAUUUGUUCAGCAUAUCUGUCACAGUAAAUUGAUAAUUUUUCAAAGUAACGUUUUUGGGCUCCUGUAAGUAACAAUCUGGAGCAAAAAUAAAACGCAUAGCCCUUUAUGAUACGGUACUUCUGCCCCUGCUCAGCAGAAGACAUCAAGUGCAAACAAUCACACUGGUGAAAUGUUGCUAAGACUGUAAUUUUCAAUUGUGAGAGGUGUAUAUGCCAGCUUUCAAAGUAUGAACCUGAUGGGUCCCCAUGUUACAAAGGGUUCCCUCCUUUUGUAAACAUGAUAUCCUGAAAUCAGAAGACAUAAAGAGAACGAAUUAUUCUUCUGGCCAUAAUUCUUUGGUGGAGGCACUGGUUGGAGGACACCAUCCCUGGUCAGAGCUUACCAUCCAGACUAAAGGAAGAAAAGCUGUCUGGUAAAUUCUAUUCACCCAUAUGUUAACUCCAUAUGGAGUUGCAGCAAGCUGUGAGAUCACAAGUUCAAACUCCAAUGACACCACUGAGAGAAGCACAAAAGCAUUUGUCUGUGGGCUCUGCCAUUCGCUGGCACACAGAUAAGGAUGUAAGUAUAAUAUGCCUAAAGCAACGAGGCCGACACCGCAUCUGGAUCAGUCUCUGUGGGACUGGAAUUGGAGCCCGUUGUCUGAACAGUGGCUGUUGAUUGCUCCAAAUACGUGGCUAGGUGUGGAUUAAAAUACCCUAUCCUGAAGAGAGGACGCCGGAGAGGUUCAUGCAGAGGGAGAGGUUACGUAAUGCGGAGGCUAGCAGCAACCAAGGGGAUCCAGUUUUUGAGACUGUAUUCUUACAUAACGCCUGAGGGCCAUUUGAGGAGACAUGCAAAACAGAAGUACCUGUACACCAGACUGAUUGCUGUGUAAAGAACAGCAAAAACAAUAAAUUCCCUGUACAGCAGUUUGUAGAUGCUGCCUCUCCACUUGAGGAGCAACCUAUGAAAUCCAAAAAAAGUCGCAUUUGCUACUUUACUGGAGUAAGUGACAGUCAUCUUGGAUAGUUUUGUUCUAGAAGAGCAAGAAGACAAAACCUGGGUGAAAAAUAAAGUUGGAUGUCAACAUAGGCAUACACUUUUUUUCCUCUUAACCGAAAGAAACUAAAGCCAAAACCUAAUCAACUGAUCCACCCCCAUGCGUUACCCGCCUCUCUUUACAGCUUAGACCUUGUAGAUAACACUGUAUCACUAUUUAGAAUCUCAGAAGGGGAAGAAGAUGGUCUCCCCGAAGACUGUUUUUAGAAGCCCCGAAAUGUCUGUAUUUGAUAAGCAUUGCUUCAGUCUGUAGCUCUCUUGCUCAUUAAAUGAUCAACAUUAACACACGA
Non-coding RNA from Rattus norvegicus (Norway rat), 1843 nucleotides. The record is from RefSeq and is a predicted model, not a curated record. NCBI's taxonomy places the organism in Eukaryota, Metazoa, Chordata, Mammalia, Rodentia, Muridae.